GAUGAACGCUGGCGGCGUGCCUAAUACAUGCAAGUCGAGCGAACGGACGAGAAGCUUGCUUCUCUGAUGUUAGCGGCGGACGGGAGAGUAACACGUGGAUAACCUACCUAUAAGACUGGGAUAACUUCGGGAAACCGUAGCUAAUACCGGAUAAUAUUUUGAACCGCAUGGUUCAAAAGUGAAAGACGGUCUUGCUGUCACUUAUAGAUGGAUCCGCGCUGCAUUAGCUAGUUGGUAAGGUAACGGCUUACCAAGGCAACGAUGCAUAGCCGACCUGAGAGGGUGAUCGGCCACACUGGAACUGAGACACGGUCCAGACUCCUACGGGAGGCAGCAGAAGGGAAUCUUCCGCAAUGGGCGAAAGCCUGACGGGGCAACGCCGCGUGAGUAAUGAAGGUCUUCGGAUCGUAAUACUCUGUUAUAAGGAAAGAACAGAUGUGUAAGGAACUGUGCACAUCUUGACGGUACCUAAUCAGAAAGCCACGGCUAACUACGUG
This 497-nucleotide ribosomal RNA is filed under the name uncultured bacterium. RNAcentral describes it as "partial 16S ribosomal RNA". It matches the Rfam family "Bacterial small subunit ribosomal RNA", at positions 28 to 507 of the family's 1533-position model. The record is from RNAcentral.